UACGAAGGGGGCGAGCGUUGUUCGGAUUUACUGGGCGUAAAGCGCGCGCAGGCGGCUAUCCAAGUCAGUGGUGAAAGCCCGGAGCUCAACUCCGGAACUGCCAUUGAAACUGUUUAGCUUGAGGACGAGAGAGGUGAGUGGAAUUCCCAGUGUAGAGGUGAAAUUCGUAGAUAUUGGGAAGAACACCGGUGGCGAAGGCGGCUCACUGGCUCGUAUCUGACGCUCAGGCGCGACAGCGUGGGGAUCAAACAGG
RNAcentral lists this ribosomal RNA (253 nucleotides) under uncultured bacterium. Its description in RNAcentral is "partial 16S ribosomal RNA". It matches the Rfam family "Bacterial small subunit ribosomal RNA", at positions 524 to 776 of the family's 1533-position model. The record is from RNAcentral.